UACAGAGGGUGCGAGCGUUAAUCGGAGUUACUGGGCGUAAAGCGCACGUAGGUGGCGACGUAAGCCAGAUGUGAAAUCCCCGGGCUUAACCUGGGAAUGGCAUUUGGGACUGCAAGGCUAGAGUACGGUAGAGGGGGAUGGAAUUCCGCGUGUAGCAGUGAAAUGCGUAGAUAUGCGGAGGAACACCGAUGGCGAAGGCAAUCCCCUGGACCUGUACUGACGCUCAUGCACGAAAGCGUGGGGAGCAAACAGG
RNAcentral lists this ribosomal RNA (253 nucleotides) under uncultured bacterium. RNAcentral describes it as "partial 16S ribosomal RNA". It matches the Rfam family "Bacterial small subunit ribosomal RNA", at positions 524 to 776 of the family's 1533-position model. The record is from RNAcentral.